AUGAAUAAGAAGUUUGCACCUAAUCUUGAAUGUGAUGGAAUCAUGGGGACCAUGUUGGACAAAUUUGGGGAAUUAACACAGGGCCUGUCAGAUAUUAAGUAUUGUAUAAAUUAUCAGUCAUUGAUUGGUUGAUUGAUACAGCUUCUAAAAGUGACUAUCUUCUAAGCAGAAAAUCUUUCCAGAGUUGAGAUUUAUCAAGAAUACUGAAUUGAUGAAUACAACAGAAUAUUUCUGUGUUGUAAGAAACAACAAAUAUGAAUACAAAGAAGAAUGGACUUAUAUGAACUGUCAGAAAGUAAGCAGAGCUAAGAAAAUAAUAUGCACUGUGACAAGAACAAUUUAAGUGGAAAGAAUCAUA
This 358-nucleotide long non-coding RNA is filed under the name Monodelphis domestica (gray short-tailed opossum). RNAcentral's name for it is "lncRNA (ENSMODG00000040144.1)". Lineage: Eukaryota; Metazoa; Chordata; Mammalia; Didelphimorphia; Didelphidae. The record is from RNAcentral.